This 623-nucleotide ribosomal RNA is filed under the name uncultured bacterium. Its description in RNAcentral is "bacterial SSU rRNA". The stretch from base 1 to 534 matches the Rfam family "Bacterial small subunit ribosomal RNA", at positions 338 to 873 of the family's 1533-position model. The record is from RNAcentral.
CCUACGGGAGGCAGCAGUGAGGAAUAUUGGACAAUGGGCGCAAGCCUGAUCCAGCCAUGCCGCGUGCAGGAAGAAGCAUCUAUGGUGUGUAAACUGCUUUUGUACGGGAAGAAACACUGCUACGUGUAGCAGCUUGACGGUACCGUAAGAAUAAGGAUCGGCUAACUCCGUGCCAGCAGCCGCGGUAAUACGGAGGAUCCAAGCGUUAUCCGGAAUCAUUGGGUUUAAAGGGUCCGUAGGCGGUUUGGUAAGUCAGUGGUGAAAGCCCAUCGCUUAACGAUGGAACGGCCAUUGAUACUGCCAGACUUGAAUUACUAGGAAGUAACUAGAAUAUGUAGUGUAGCGGUGAAAUGCUUAGAUAUUACAUGGAAUACCAAUUGCGAAGGCAGGUUACUACUAGUUUAUUGACGCUGAUGGACGAAAGCGUGGGGAGCGAACAGGAUUAGAUACCCUGGUAGUCCACGCCGUAAACGAUGGAUACUAGCUGUUCGGGGUAACCUGAGUGGCUAAGCGAAAGUGAUAAGUAUCCCCACCUCGGAGGUACGUUCGCGAGAAGAGAACGUACGAAGAAAGUUAGUACGGCGUGAGAGUAGACCGACGGACGACCGACGAGGGGAGGAGGG